Plutella xylostella (diamondback moth) is the source of this 623-nucleotide long non-coding RNA. RefSeq lists it as uncharacterized. The record is from RefSeq and is a predicted model, not a curated record. NCBI's taxonomy places the organism in Eukaryota, Metazoa, Arthropoda, Insecta, Lepidoptera, Plutellidae.
AUUAACGUUAAUUAAUAGAUACCCAAAACGGACAUGAAACUAGUUAUUGAUAAAUAAGUAGAUUAAUACUAAAUAUCUAUUAUAAAUGAAGGAAAGAAAUAGUAUAAAACGGCUUAGUUUUCAGCGUGUAGCAUCACACUCGAGCCACAGUUCCAGCGUGCCUACCGCCACCGCCAACAUGUCUAAACUCACUCUGGCCCUGCUCGUGCUGUGCGCCUGCGUCGCUGUGUCUAUGGCGGCACCACAAGUAGAUUUAGAGCCGGUCGUGAGCAAGCUGACUCCCCUGGAAAUUGGUAAACUCAUGUUGACUCUUCUCUCGGCGGGAAAGAGCUCUGGUGGCACGUCGGCAGGGGGCGCCGAGGGGGAACCUGCUGCUGCAUCCUCUUAGACACCCACCACCUAUCCACUAGACAAUAAGUGAGGGUCACUACAUAAAUUAGAAAAAUACACGAACGAGUUAUCAUGCAAUCGGCAUAAUGCAACGAGAUAGAGUCGUGGAUAUCGCAGAGCUUAGGAAAAACGAAAGCGCUUGUAGUCAUUCAUUCGAUUUCUGUAGUAAGUCCCCUGACACGUGUCCUGUAAAAUGUGUGUGAAAAUCAAUAAAGUACUUACUUAAUUUAAAU